Operophtera brumata (winter moth) is the source of this 45-nucleotide non-coding RNA. Lineage: Eukaryota; Metazoa; Arthropoda; Insecta; Lepidoptera; Geometridae. The record is from Rfam.
CACUAGGCCCUUUUCAGGGCCACCACACUCCAAGCUGGUUAUUGU